AUGGAUAAAUCAGGGUCAGCAAGAAAUGAAGCAGCAGACAAUGACUGGUAAAUGACCCAAAUAAACUAGGCCAACAACAAGAUUUUUAAACAGAGAGAUGUUAGAGCCACAAUACUUGCUGGAGGCACAGAGAAGUUGUCGGCCGUUUUUCAGGCCAGCUUCACCCUCCUGUGAGUGACAAGAGCGAGGCUCUUUCCAGAAAGGACUCACUUCAGGAGCAGACCAUCUGGAUGCUGUCUCAGAGCUGCACAGAAGAAAGUGUGAGAGAGAAAAUAAAAACCAAGAAAUAGCAAGAAGCUUUAGGGGCAACACAGAAGUGGAAAAGGAAAAUUCAGGCCAGUAAAAAAAAAUAAAUUAAAAAAUAUAUAAAAAAUAUACAUAUAUAAAAUAUAACACUUUCUGGUUGAUUUGCACACCACUAGUGUUUUGGGGAAUGUCAGCAGAGGACAUUCUUAAGUCAGUUGUGGUGCUCAUGUUUCAGUACUCAUAAACAAUCAGUUACUAGAAAAAUAAGAUAAUUAUUGUGAGAAAGAGCAGAACUCAUUCCAAUCACUUUGCCACAGGUCUGUGUUCAGAACAACCCUUCCCAUAUACGGAUGUUUCACAGCAAAUUGUAUAUAAAACCAAGGAGAGCUACAUGCUGUGCAGCAGAAGCACUGUCAGAAAGGAAGAAUAACAAAGAGGACGCUGUGGAUGGGUGCCUAGAACUGAAGUUACACAACAUGCCUGGGGUAGGACAGUGGUAAUCAUAUCACAGCACCCAGCAUGCUACAUCAGGCAGGAGAAAUGCAGAAGGUGUGGGGCCUUCAGCUUAAUUAUCUCCUUAGAUAAAUCCACAUCUAGGAGAAAAGAGAAAAAGACAACAAAGAACAUUUCAGAUUACAGCUGUGACACCACUCUGAGAGCAAAAGACCUGGGGCUGUCAGGUAAGCUAAGCAGUUUCCCUGCAUCAAUCUACAAUGAACUACGUAAGCCACUUAUACCAGAGACUGUUCAAGCCAUUCUCCAUUAGAAUGGCAUAUUCUGAUCUCCCCAGUUUUAUUAAGCAAGUUGAACCUUAAUAACACACUGAGAAGCUGAAUGGGCUAAUGAAGCAGAUUGCACGAUCUGGAAUUGCUCCCUUACAGGUAAAGCUCUGAACCACAGACAGCAAGAGGAUUUUUUCCAUUUUACAUGGCUACAUUUUGCUGUUGUUGCAGUGCUCUCUUAUACAGUUAUCUGGCUCUGUAUGAACCACAUGCUGAAGAGAAAUAACAUCUCAGUUAAAAAAGCUGAUCAGCUUUUCAUGCCACAGGGAAAAAAAAAAAAAGUUUCUCCUGAAUACUACAAAAAUCUUUUAAUUGCAUUUCCACACUAAAUGGAUCAGUAGUCUAAAACAGUUUUCUAGUGUACCAGAGGAUGCAGAAAAUAUUUCCACAAUACAACUUUCCAAAGUACAAGCUUAUUUUUACCGAGGGGAAAAGCAUUGUGGGGGAAGCAUAGUUACUUUCAAUGUACUAUAGUCCUUGACUAUAUGUCACGUUGCUUGCACUGUGCUGUCAGGUGGAAUACAACAUUGUUAUAAUGCUAGAAUUAAGGCUUCUGUACUGAGAAUGGCUGGGGGUUUGUUUAGUUCUUGCAGCACUUAAAACAUUCCCCUUUCUAUCCCAGAAGAGAUAUCUGGUCAUUUAACUCUAUCCUUCCUGCUUUUUUUUUUUUUUUCCCCCCACAUGUAAGCG
This 1718-nucleotide long non-coding RNA is filed under the name Anas platyrhynchos (mallard). RNAcentral describes it as "lncRNA (ENSAPLG00020017306.1)". Lineage: Eukaryota; Metazoa; Chordata; Aves; Anseriformes; Anatidae. The record is from RNAcentral.